Molecule: ribosomal RNA, 259 nt
Filed under: uncultured prokaryote
Description: partial 16S ribosomal RNA
Rfam family: Bacterial small subunit ribosomal RNA
Source: RNAcentral
UACGGAGGAUCCGAGCGUUAUCUGGAUUUAUUGGGUUUAAAGGGUGCGCAGGCGGGAGAUUAAGUCGGCGGUGAAAUUUUGCAGCUCAACUGUAAAAGUGCCAUUGAUACUGGUUUUCUUGAGUGUAGAUGAAGUAGGCGGAAUUUGUGGUGUAGCGGUGAAAUGCAUAGAUAUCACGAGGAACUCCGAUUGCGCAGGCAGCUUACUAAACUAUAACUGACGCUCAGGCACGAAGGCGUGGGGAUCAAACAGGAUUAGA